Molecule: long non-coding RNA, 679 nt
Organism: Mastomys coucha (southern multimammate mouse)
Lineage: Eukaryota; Metazoa; Chordata; Mammalia; Rodentia; Muridae
Exons: 2
Source: RefSeq, a predicted model, not a curated record
CCUCGCGCCUGCCCAUCUGCGGGCCCAGAAACUACGAUUCCCAGCUAUCCUCGCGUGCCCGCUCUGCAGAGAAGGUGCCCCGCCUCCUAGUGGGGGCUGUGGUAGGAGCAAGAAGGCGGGCAGCACGAUGUGGAUUUUGCCAGGAUGCGGGGGCGGAGAAAGUAUAAAUAACAACAGACCCCUUUGAAACUACGCAAAUAUUUUCCACACUAAACAACAGUAGCAGAUAUAUAGCCACAAAGCAGAAGCUUAAGAGAUCUUAGAAUGAUUCCUAAAAUAGAACUUUCAGUAAGAAGUACAAACACAGGCUAAGGCUCAGCACUACAGCUCCUUCCCUAGCGCUGGCAGCCACACAGCCCACAGAUGGAGGCCAGAGUAGCUCCUAGGGAUGCUGGCACAAGAGGAGGAUUCAGAAGUGACCUCAGACCAAGAAUGUGAACAGACCUCUGGCAUUCAAGAGCAAAACAAGAAUACAACGAGGCAGGGUGGAAGCACACCAACCAUCAAUAAUGCACUUGGCAAGUAGAAGCUGGAGGAUCAGAAGUUCAAGGGGACCGGCUCUGCUUAGUUAAGGGAGACCAACUAGUGAACCAACCAAAAACCUCACCAAAACAACACAGAGAGUGAGUUGAAACAACGGAAAAUGUUUUGCCCAUGUAAAAUGUUAAAAAAAAAAGAA